UGGGCGUAAGAGCUCGUAGGCGGCUUGUCACGUCGGGUGUGAAAGCCCGGGGCUUAACCCCGGGUCUGCAUCCGAUACGGGCAGGCUAGAGUGUGGUAGGGGAGAUCGGAAUUCCUGGUGUAGCGGUGAAAUGCGCAGAUAUCAGGAGGAACACCGGUGGCGAAGGCGGAUCUCUGGGCCAUUACUGACGCUGAGGAGCGAAAGCGUGGGGAGCGAACAGGAUUAGAUACCCUGGUAGUCCACGCCGUAAACGUUGGGAACUAGGUGUUGGCGACAUUCCACGUCGUCGGUGCCGCAGCUAACGCAUUAAGUUCCCCGCCUGGGGAGUACGGCCGCAAGGCUAAAACUCAAAGGAAUUGACGGGGGCCCGCACAAGCAGCGGAGCAUGUGGCUUAAUUCGACGCAACGCGAAGAACCUUACCAAGGCUUUUUUUGGUGCGGAAAAAAUCAUAGAUGGUGCCCCCCUUGUGGUCGGUAUACAGGUG
RNAcentral lists this ribosomal RNA (485 nucleotides) under Streptomyces cinereoruber. RNAcentral describes it as "bacterial SSU rRNA". It matches the Rfam family "Bacterial small subunit ribosomal RNA", at positions 555 to 1040 of the family's 1533-position model. Lineage: Bacteria; Bacillati; Actinomycetota; Actinomycetes; Kitasatosporales; Streptomycetaceae. The record is from RNAcentral.